Molecule: small RNA, 577 nt
Filed under: Pan troglodytes (chimpanzee)
Lineage: Eukaryota; Metazoa; Chordata; Mammalia; Primates; Hominidae
Description: retained intron
Source: RNAcentral
AUACGAAUCUAGCCCGGGAACCGAGUUGCGGGAGUGCGGUCUGUGCCGUUCCGGCCAGGAGUUUGCCGACUGCAGACGUCCUGCGAACCGGCAAGAUGUGCUCUAUGGGGUUGUUCCCUCCUCCACCGCCUCGGGGUCAAGUCACCCUAUAUGAGCACAAUAACGAGCUGGUGACGGGCAGUAGCUAUGAGAGCCCGCCCCCCGACUUCCGGGGCCAGUGGAUCAAUCUUCCUGUCCUACAACUGACCAAGGAUCCCCUAAAGACCCCUGGAAGGCUGGACCAUGGCACAAGAACUGCCUUCAUCCAUCACCGGGAGCAAGUGUGGAAGAGAUGCAUCAACAUUUGGCGUGAUGUGGGCCUUUUUGGGGUGCUAAAUGAAAUUGCAAACUCAGAAGAAGAGGGUAAGUAUUUUUCCCUCCAGCCUUCCCUAGUUUUGUGGUUAUCUCCUCUCCAUAUUCUUGAACUCACCCCCGACACCUGUUGGCUCAGCCUCUUUUAGCCCUAUUUUUCCUGUCCUCUCCUCUACCUACCCAAAUAACCCAGAGUGGGUGUCCAGAGUGGGUGUCCAGAGUGUGG